AUGUAAGGAAGGCAGCAGGCGCGCAAAUUACCCACUCCCGGCUCGGGGAGGUAGUGACGAAAAAUACCGUUGCGAGCCCCUCCGGGGUGUCGCAAUCGGAAUGGGCUCACCUUAAAACCGUGGGCGAGGACCUAGUGGAGGGCAAGUCUGGUGCCAGCAGCCGCGGUAAUUCCAGCUCCACUGGCGUAUACCAAUGCUGUUGCGGUUAAAAAGCUCGUAGUUGGACUCGUGCCCGCGACCGGCGGCGUCUCCGGCAGCCGCGCUCCUCCGCUCUCUCUCAUGCAGAGGCGGUGGCCCGAGCGCUCGGAGACUCCGACUGGCCGGCUCCGCGGUGCUGACACGGGUGCGCCUCCGCCGGAAGCGAGUGAAAAGGGUCACUCCGGCGGGCGCUGCCUCGCCCCGUCUGCCCGUCCGUCGCCUUCGCGGCGUCGGCGGAAGCGGGGGGCGAGUGCAGCAGGCCACCGCUUUUACUGUGAAAAACUCAGAGUGCUCAGAGCAGGCCUCGCGGGGGCCUUCCAUCCCCGCGGCAAGGCCCGAAUGUAAUCUCAUGGAAUAAUGGAAGACGACCUCGGCCCAGCAGUUUGGCUGGUUUUAGUGGCCGCCGAGGUAAUGAUUAACAGGGACCGACGGGGGCAGUCGUACUGCGACGCGAGAGGUGAAAUUCUGAGACCGUCGCAUGACGCCCUACCGCGAAGGCAG
RNAcentral lists this ribosomal RNA (699 nucleotides) under Metapenaeus affinis. RNAcentral's name for it is "bacterial SSU rRNA". It matches the Rfam family "Eukaryotic small subunit ribosomal RNA", at positions 414 to 954 of the family's 1831-position model. The record is from RNAcentral. Lineage: Eukaryota; Metazoa; Arthropoda; Malacostraca; Decapoda; Penaeidae.